UGACUUAAAGCCAGAUAACAACCCUGAAGAUUCUAAGGGCAGGGCUGCCUUUGCAAGUGGGGAUUCACAUUUUCAAAGAAUUCCCAGAAGUCCUAAGACAAAGAAUUCCAGCCUGCCGUCCUCGCCACGGAGCCUGUGGGGCCUGCUGCUGGACCCUCUGAUGGACACCCUCAUGACAGACCCCGUGCGGCUGCCCUCUGGCACCAUCAUGGACCGCUCCAUCAUCCUGCGGCACCUGCUCAACUCCCCCACGGACCCCUUCAACCGGCAGACGCUGACAGAGAGCAUGCUGGAACCAGUGCCAGAACUGAAAGAGCAGAUUCAGGCGUGGAUGAGAGAGAAACAGAACAGCGAU
Molecule: small RNA, 355 nt
Filed under: Pan troglodytes (chimpanzee)
Lineage: Eukaryota; Metazoa; Chordata; Mammalia; Primates; Hominidae
Description: processed transcript
Source: RNAcentral